UGGGGAAUAUUGGACAAUGGGCGGAAGCCUGAUCCAGCAACGCCGCGUGAGGGAUGACGGCCUUCGGGUUGUAAACCUCUUUCAGUACCGACGAAGCGAAAGUGACGGUAGGUACAGAAGAAGGACCGGCCAACUACGUGCCAGCAGCCGCGGUAAUACGUAGGGUCCGAGCGUUGUCCGGAAUUAUUGGGCGUAAAGGGCUCGUAGGCGGUUUGUCGCGUCGGGAGUGAAAACAGCGGGCUUAACUCGUUGCUUGCUUUCGAUACGGGCAGACUAGAGGUAUGCAGGGGAGAAUGGAAUUCCUGGUGUAGCGGUGAAAUGCGCAGAUAUCAGGAGGAACACCGGUGGCGAAGGCGGUUCUCUGGGCAUUACCUGACGCUGAGGAGCGAAAGUGUGGGGAGCGAACAGGAUUAGAUACCCUGGUAGUCCACACCGUAAACGUUGGGCGCUAGGUGUGGGGUCCUUUCCACGGAUUCCGUGCCGUAGCUAACGCAUUAAGCGCCCCGCCUGGGGAGUACGGCCGCAAGGCUAAAACUCAAAUGAAUUGACGGGGUCAUAGCUGUUUCCU
This 568-nucleotide ribosomal RNA is filed under the name uncultured bacterium. Its description in RNAcentral is "partial 16S ribosomal RNA". It matches the Rfam family "Bacterial small subunit ribosomal RNA", at positions 355 to 1375 of the family's 1533-position model. The record is from RNAcentral.